CAGGGUAGGAUCGAACCUCGGAGCGAAGAGAUAAGAGGCAAAAUUCAGAACUACGACCAAUCGGAGCGGUCGAGUCAGUUGGAAAAGCAUGGUUCGACUUACCUUUACAACUUCAAUGGUGAGAUGAACUAAUAGUGAAGCAAAUUUCAUCUCUUCGCUGAAUUUAUUUUGCAAUGGCACACUUCUGAAACCUGACCUCAAACAACGAACCUGAAUAAAAACAACUUCCUUCUUCAAAGUCAAUUGAAGAUAUAAAACAAUUUUGUACCGGGUAGGUAGCCUGGCCGUUGAAAAUACCCUCUCCAAACACACUUUCGUCGUGAACAACGAAUCGCAACAUGGCAAAAUCUGGAUUAGCUAC
Long non-coding RNA from Neodiprion fabricii, 361 nucleotides. RefSeq lists it as uncharacterized. The record is from RefSeq and is a predicted model, not a curated record. NCBI's taxonomy places the organism in Eukaryota, Metazoa, Arthropoda, Insecta, Hymenoptera, Diprionidae. The transcript is spliced from 3 exons.